GUGUCAGCAGCCGCGGUAAGACAGAGGGUGCAAACGUUGCUCGGAAUCACUGGGCGUAAAGGGCGCGUAGGCGGACAAGUAAGUCGGGCGUGAAAUCCCUAGGCUCAACCUAGGAACUGCACUCGAAACUGCAUGUCUUGAGUACCGGAGAGGAAAGCGGAAUACCUGGUGUAGAGGUGAAAUUCGUAGAUAUCAGGUGGAACACCAGUGGCGAAGGCGGCUUUCUGGACGGUAACUGACGCUGAGGCGCGAAAGCGUGGGGAGCAAACAGGAUUAGAAACCCUAGUAGUCC
Molecule: ribosomal RNA, 292 nt
Filed under: uncultured bacterium
Lineage: Bacteria
Description: partial 16S ribosomal RNA
Rfam family: Bacterial small subunit ribosomal RNA
Source: RNAcentral